AUUGACCAGACGAAACGCGAUGCCGGGGUCAGAGAGCGGGCGCGCAAUGGGAUUGCUGGCAGCAGUGGAAAGGCGAAGGGCUCCCUCCUACCGUAUUCUCGCGGAUUGUGGGGAGGGGGGACGUGAUGUGUAAGUUGCUGAACGUCAAAGAUGGCCCUUGCACCAGAAAGGCGCUGCUUUGAGCUGUACUGGAAUUUAGGCUGAGUUUUGCACAGUUUUCCCAGCUGGAUUCUACAUUCACGUUCCAGGUCACUCUCUGAGAUGGGCACAUCAUGGACCUACCAAAGGUGAAGAAAGCAACAAGGACAAGUUUAGGUGUGAGGCCCAAGGAGGAAAAUAGGAAUUUAGAAUUACUUGCAUUACAGUAAAUGGACUUCUAAGAAAGGAAGGGUGAAACCUGUCGGGAUCGGGGUCCGUAUGUGGCCAUAAAUUCCUUCUUUUAUGGCUCUUAUGACUUCAAUAAGUGGCAUUCCUAAAUUGGGCUGCAAACUCCCUGAAAAAAAAUUCUCAUUUGGAGGAGCAAAAUAAUUAAAAGCGGGUACAUAAAGUUUCGCUUAAAUUUAAGACACUAGGAAUAACAAGCAGCAGCCCAGCAAUACAAUAAAAUCAAAACCCCUACCUUGGAAUGGGACCUAGGCCCUUGAGUGAAGUUACUUCUUUGCUUAAUAUCACUCAAGGGCAGCUCUCAGCUCUCGAAUUUCCCCACCUCCGCGACAGAGAUGAGGAAAGGGCAUUGGUGAAUGUUGCAGGCUUAUAGCUGGUCUCUGUGUAUGAUAGAUUGGGACUGCUGGAUAGAUUUCUGGGUGCCUAGCAGCCAAUCAGUGAAGUCUCCCAUGGGUAAACUGAGGUUUACAACCUCCUGAUUACUUUAAAAAAAAUGCCUCUGGAAUUCAGUGGCAAAAUAGCAAGGCACUUUUCAGCAACAACCACCACCAUAAAAAGGCCAAAAUAAAGGAGAGAAGCCAAAUUCUAUGUGUUGGAUACUUACAAAGCCCUAUAUAACAUGACACAGAAUUAAAUCACAAAAUUGAUUCUACUCAUUAGAGCCAUGCUUCUUACUACCCCUUGAGAGCCACUACCAUAUACAUAGGAAGUAUAUGGGACUUGGAUCAGGUGGCUGACUUUUUCUGCAGUGGCCCCUGACUUAUGAAAUACACUUUUUCUGGACAUGUAUAUGUAGCAUCUCCCUCCUUGCAUUCUGCAAACCAGCAGAAUCUUUUUCUUAUUCUAUCAUGUUUUGGUCCUAAUUGGCUGUUUGACGACAUUUAUCUUGGUAUUUUAAUGUGCUGUAUUGGUUCUGUUUCUAUCUAAUUGUAAACUGCCCAAGUCUUAUAAUGUGAAAGUCAAUAAAUAUUGCAAACAAA
This is a long non-coding RNA of Crotalus tigris (Tiger rattlesnake), 1364 nucleotides long. RefSeq lists it as uncharacterized. NCBI's taxonomy places the organism in Eukaryota, Metazoa, Chordata, Lepidosauria, Squamata, Viperidae. The transcript is spliced from 2 exons. The record is from RefSeq and is a predicted model, not a curated record.